This is a non-coding RNA of Chlorocebus sabaeus (green monkey), 1537 nucleotides long. NCBI's taxonomy places the organism in Eukaryota, Metazoa, Chordata, Mammalia, Primates, Cercopithecidae. The record is from RefSeq and is a predicted model, not a curated record.
GCCUGCGUGCUCGCGGACCGGCUUUUCCGCCCUGACCGUGCUCCUGAUGCCUCCCGGCCGCCGUAGGCGAAGGUUCGCGGAAGCGGCGAGCAGGCGCUCACCUGAGCUGACUCAGAAAUUGGGAUGAUUUCUCUGUGGAUCCUAUAAGGAGCCUGGAGAUGGUGAAGAGAAUGCCUUGACCAUCAGGAGACAGCUUACCUUAUUGAAUCUUGAUCACUUCUUCUGACCACUUUGGAUAUUAAAAGAACAAGAUAUGCUGAUAAGGUGCCUCAUUCUUGUAACUGCUGGAGAUACGAUGAUGAUGACACAGAUUCUGUCUUCAAGAAGCCCAUAAAAAAGUGGGAAAAAGAUGUGACUGCGGAUAAAGACCAUGAGAAGGACUUUUUACACAAGGUAUUUGCUUAAGUGUUGAAGGGCCUAGAAGAGAGAGUGACCAGUGUCCAAAACUAUUUGUGAAUUGCAUUCACAUACAGCGCCUGUUUUGAUUCUCAGAGCACCCAGAUGGCUGUUUUUUGGUGGUUUUCUUAAAGUAUGGUAAGACAAAUGCCCCAGUUGCCAGCAAGUUCUACUUCAUCAUGCUAUAGGCUUCUGUGAAUAGGACAAGUAUACCACCAUCAAGAAGCAAGCAGCUUGCUUGUGUUUCAGAGGAACCACCCGCGGAAGAAUGUCUUCUUGGAUUAAAACUGGUAUUGCCAUGUUCCAUUCUAGAAUGUCCAAAUGCCACCCUUCUGAAGAUGUUUAGUUCAAGAGUUUCCAUUUUCAUAUUAAGUUUCUAUGUCCAUACUUAGUGGGAUGAUUUGAAGUUGUAAAAAAAUCCUAAACUUCUCCGAUUGUAGGAAUGAUAACUGGAAUAUUAUUUUAAGAGCAAAUACAUGUACAUUCCUAAUGUUGCUUGAAUGGGAAUUAUGAAGAAGAAGAAGAAGAAAAAGAAAAAAAAAGAAAAACAAACCCAUGAGAGUUUGGGUUGCUAUUUCUGACCAAGCUGGAAUUGUGAAAUACCAGGAGUCCCAUAGGAAAUCUUAUCUCACCGGAAGACGAUCAUGGUCUCUUGGCCAAAGAACGGGUAUGCAUUUUUGUGUAAAUAAAACUUGCAGACCCAGACAGAGGGCUGGGCUACCUUGCAGCUUAGCCUGCCAUUUAUUAUCAUUCACAAGGUGGUGUUAGAUGCUCAGCUUUAAAAAGAACUGACUUUUCAGCAGUAUUUUUACCCUUGAGAGUAUAUAGAGAGAGCUCUGUGUUGUAUAUUAAUCAGAGCUUUCACGACUUGCUUUGAAUGGUAUUCGAAAUGUGUCUGGAAGAAUAGUGAAUGAACUAUGCCCAAAGUGUGCUCUAUUAUUUAUUACUCAGGAGCCUUUCCAUCUGAGACGUAGGCUGAAAUUAAAGACACCAAGUACCUGUCUUUACUAACUCAAUGUUUUUCCAGUUUCUGCUCCCUGUGUACUCACCCCACCUGCAAAGGAUUCCAGGAUUUGAUGCCUCAUAAGAGUCAGUCAGUUUUUUUUUUUUUGAGACAGAGUCUCACUCUUUCACCCAGGCG